AUGGCAGGCCUUCAAUGUGUUAAGAUGGAUACAAUAUACAACCUUCUCCAGCAGCACAGACUGGACACCUACCACCACAAAUUCCUCACUUUGGGUGUCCAAGACGAGAGAGAUUUCACCGAUGGCGUAAAUGGUGAAGAUUUAGACAAAAUGGGUUUCAGUCAAGUAGAGAAGAAUCGCUUUGAAAAAAUGAAAGAUUUCAUCCAAAGACUCAGAGCGCCACAGCAAGCGAUGCCUGUACAAAAACCAAUGGAGUCUUUCCAACUGUGGUACACAUACCCCCACUGUCCUGAGCUAAAAGAGAUCAGAGACAUGGAUCCUGCUACCAACACCGUUGAAGACCUGAUGCUAAGGAUCUGCCACCAAGAGGGCAUUGAGAACUCUAAAGCUGUGUGCCUCUACACAGUUGAUGGAAUGCCUCUAACUGAUGAUCCUUUCUUCAACACAUGGUCUUUGAAAGACAGGCACAUUGAAAAUGGAAGUGAGCUCUAUGCCAUGUUUACACCCAAGGAGAACUUGAGACCAGCCCUGCUAGUGACACUGCAAGAAAUAACUGACAUGACAGGAGAGGAUAAUGUUCGAUGCCACAUCAUGCUCAAGGGAGACUUUGAGGUCAAGGUGGACUUGGCAAGUGACACAUUACGAGAUCUGAGACAGAAGCUCUCUGAUGAAAGUGGAAUCCCAGCACAUGUCCUCCAUUAUAAAUGUGAACGCGGUGGAGUUGGACAGACUUUGCUAGAUUGUGGAAUCAAUGAGGAGUCAACUGUGUUCUUUUCUCUGUCCUCCUUCCCUGAUGAGCGUCCAGACACUAUGGAAUUCUACUUCAAUGAUGUCGUACCCUCAGUGCAACAAUCCCAGAAAGGACUCAGUGCUUUCUUUUCUUCACUUUAUGCCAUUGUGAGAUAUUCCACUAUUUAUUACACUGUCUUGUCAUGUUUGACCAUGCUCAGGCCAAGCAUGCAACAUGGUUCCUUUGCUUGUCUCAUUGGUUUUGAUGUGAACUUCGUCCCCUGCUAUAACACAUUCAAUGCUUUCCCCCUAAUCUUUACAGAGCAAUAGAGAACACCGUUCUGGAGAUAUAUUAAGCAUAGUGACUGCAUACAUCCGAAAGCUCAGUGGGUGCAAUCCUUUGGCCCAAAGUCUGCAUCAGCUGUUGUAUAGAAAUGAGGUUGGAACAAGGACCCAGAAG
Molecule: long non-coding RNA, 1189 nt
Filed under: Oncorhynchus mykiss (rainbow trout)
Lineage: Eukaryota; Metazoa; Chordata; Actinopteri; Salmoniformes; Salmonidae
Description: lncRNA (ENSOMYG00000062258.1)
Source: RNAcentral